This is a non-coding RNA of Cyanistes caeruleus (blue tit), 1695 nucleotides long. NCBI's taxonomy places the organism in Eukaryota, Metazoa, Chordata, Aves, Passeriformes, Paridae. The record is from RefSeq and is a predicted model, not a curated record.
CUCUUAACUCAGGCGCGCCCUGCGACGACGCUGCCUGGUCCCGGCGUGGCCGUAUCGUGCGGCCUCAGGACACGGCCGUUCACAGGAGACCCUGACCUGGAGAUGAUAUCCUGGAGAUGGCAGGAACUUUCUGGAUGGCGAGGCGGCCUUCCUUGGCGCUCCGUGUGGAUCCUUCCCAGCGGGCAUUCGAGAGCAUAGUCGAUGACUGAGAUCCGCAGAGUGGAUGAAAGUUGGGACUAGUCGGGACUCGUGACCUGGAAUAUUUGAGUCAGCUUUGGGGACGGGGAGGUCCAGGCUGUGGCCCCUUAGGCCGCACGGUGGGAGAGCCUCACUUUUGUUCACAGUGCUGAGGUGUGCAGGACAGAGCAGCCUCGGGGCGUGGCGUGUCACUUGUCCGUCGUGCCUUCUGUGUCUUUUGUGCCUCUUGUGUUGUACGUGCCUUGCCCUAUCUCUUCUGGGGGCUUACCAGAAACCCCAGCAUCACUUAUAGCAUCUCCAAUCUCUGGGCUCCUCGGCUCGGCUGCUCUCAGAGGCCUUGGAAUCGCGUCUCUUUUGAAAAGCAUCCGAUCGGAUGUCUUUUAGACCUCUUGUUCUGAGCUGUGUCAACAGCCGUGCGCCGCGAGGAUCCAUUGUUGCGGCUUAGGACUUGAAGAAACGCAAAGAUAGGUAGGGGACUGCGGCCCUCAGGUUCUUGAGCAUCUGUCUUGGCAGUUCCUGGAGUUAAUUGUUCCAUCAGCAUCUUCUUCCUCCCGGGUUCUGUGAGCUUCAUCAGCUCGCCUUCAUUCUCACCCGGCUCAUCUCGUUCCGCAUUCUCUCAGUCCUUGCGGCCGUCCUUGUGGCCCAGAGUUUUGUCUCCCCAUUGUGUCCCCUCGUCGGGUGUCUGGUGUGUCACGGGUGUCUGGGUGUAGUUGUCCCGGAGCUGCUCUGCCCUGCUGCCCAGCCUGGCUGUAGGUGUAAAAGGCCAAGUCCCAGGCCCCUGUAAUUUGAAAUUUGUGAUGUAGGGUGUAGUUGGGGUCUAGAACAUAUUCCUAGAUCAACACAAGAUGUCCGGAGCUGUGAAGUUACCCUGCAGCACUUUGACUUUUGUCUCAGCUCUCUUUCAGAUGCGGACGGAUGAAAUCGGUGGCAGAGCGCCCCAUCCAGGGUAAGGGGGUUCCCCCGAGAAGGAAAUAGAGCCGGCUGGCAGCAGUCAAGGUGAAGUGGGCAAGGCGGUCCAGUCGCGUUUCGUCGAGACCCCGUCGCCAGCCGGCCGGCACGCCUGCUUCGCCGCUCCCGUGAGCCCUGCGGAAGCGUCACAGGGACCGCGUGACGGAGCCUUUUCCACGUAAAGGGGCCGUGUGGGUGGCCUUCAGGAAGGGGCCGAGGGCUUCCCGCGCGCCCUGCGACGACGCUGCCUGGUCCCGGCGUGGCCGUAUCGUGCGGCCUCAGGACACGGCCGUUCGCAGGAGACCCUGACGGAGAGACGACAGCCUGGCGAUGGCAGGAACUUCCCGGAUAGCCAGGCGGCGUUCUUUGGCGCUCCGUGUGGAUCCUCCCCAGCGGGCAUCCGAGAGCUGAGUCGAAGGCUACCACCCGCAGAGGGGAUGAAAGCGGGGUGCCGGGUCGGGACUUGUGACCUGGGAUAUUUGAGUCAGCUUUGGGGACGGGGAGGUCCAGGCUGUGGCCCCUUAGGCCGCACGGUGGGAGAGCCUCACU